Molecule: long non-coding RNA, 249 nt
Filed under: Setaria italica (foxtail millet)
Lineage: Eukaryota; Viridiplantae; Streptophyta; Magnoliopsida; Poales; Poaceae
Description: long non-coding RNA (SITA_LNC005927)
Source: RNAcentral
UCGGAGUGAGACAGCUUGGGAUCAGCUUAGUGAGCAUCACCCUACCGGGCAAAGAACCUGGGAGUUAUGAUACCAUCCUGCAUCUGGGCUCGGAUGCGAUACCCCGCAGAGGACCACCCCCGAAUUGUGAAGCACUCCCACUGGGGCCAAUCAGGGGCAAAAGCAAAUCAGGGGGCAAAAGGUUAGCACAACUCCCCCUACACUGAUACUCUAUCCUACGGCAGGUAUGGUACCGCACUUGCCAGUCUC